AGGCCGACAAUUCCCCCCCAAGGUGGUAAAUGGAAUUUUUCUGUAACGGUAGAAUGUGUGGAUAGAAAAUAGAACCCCAAAGGCAAAAGCAAUUUACCUCGGGGAAGGGGGGUGAAAAUCUGAUAUUCCCGAUCGGGACCUAUCACUCCACCCCCCCGAGCACAGGCUGAAACACGAGGGUGUGGGUAACAAACAGGAUUAGAGACCCUGGUAGUCCACACUGUAAACGAUGAAGAAAAUGUUAAUGCAACCCCGAAAGGUAGUAAUCUUCCGCCUGAGUAGUACGAUCGCAAGAUUAAAAUUCAAAAAAUUUGGCUGUUCACUGUUUCGAUUAGAGGAGCGUGUAGUUUAAUUCGAUAAACCGCGAGAUACCUUACCCAAACUUGAAUCACCCAUCCGAGAUUGAAUGGUCUCGGGAGGGUAGACCGGUAUUGCAUGGCCGUCGUCAGUUCGUGUAUGAAACCUUUAACGGACCUAACCCGGGGGGUUAGCCGCGGAUGAAGUCAGGUCUUAUGAUCCCUAUGUUUGGGGAUAAUAUGCGCUACAUUUUCUUAUACAAUGGG
This 563-nucleotide ribosomal RNA is filed under the name Epizoanthus arenaceus. RNAcentral's name for it is "partial small subunit ribosomal RNA". It matches the Rfam family "Bacterial small subunit ribosomal RNA", at positions 623 to 1246 of the family's 1533-position model. Lineage: Eukaryota; Metazoa; Cnidaria; Anthozoa; Zoantharia; Epizoanthidae. The record is from RNAcentral.